CCUACGGGGGGCAGCAGUGGGGAAUCUUCCGCAAUGGACGAAAGUCUGACGGAGCAACGCCGCGUGAGUGAUGACGGCCUUCGGGUUGUAAAGCUCUGUUAAUCGGGACGAAUGGUUCUUGUGCAAAUAGUGCGAGGAUUUGACGGUACCGGAAUAGAAAGCCACGGCUAACUACGUGCCAGCAGCCGCGGUAAUACGUAGGUGGCAAGCGUUGUCCGGAAUUAUUGGGCGUAAAGCGCGCGCAGGCGGAUUGGUCAGUCUGUCUUAAAAGUUCGGGGCUUAACCCCGUGAUGGGAUGGAAACUGCCAAUCUAGAGUAUCGGAGAGGAAAGUGGAAUUCCUAGUGUAGCGGUGAAAUGCGUAGAUAUUAGGAAGAACACCAGUGGCGAAGGCGACUUUCUGGACGAAAACUGACGCUGAGGCGCGAAAGCCAGGGGAGCGAACGGGAUUAGAUACCCGGGUAGUC
This 465-nucleotide ribosomal RNA is filed under the name uncultured Veillonella sp. RNAcentral describes it as "bacterial SSU rRNA". It matches the Rfam family "Bacterial small subunit ribosomal RNA", at positions 338 to 795 of the family's 1533-position model. Lineage: Bacteria; Bacillati; Bacillota; Negativicutes; Veillonellales; Veillonellaceae. The record is from RNAcentral.